UGGGGGAUAUUGCACAAUGGGCGAAAGCCUGAUGCAGCGACGCCGCGUGGGGGAUGAAGGCUUUCGGGUUGUAAACCUCUUUCGCUAUCGAACAAGGCCCGCUUAGGGUGGGUUGAGGGUAGGUGGAGAAGAAGCGCCGGCUAACUACGUGCCAGCAGCCGCGGUAAUACGUAGGGCGCGAGCGUUGUCCGGAAUUAUUGGGCGUAAAGGGCUUGUAGGCGGCUUGUUGCGCCUGCUGUGAAAACGCGGGGCUUAACUUCGCGCGUGCAGUGGGUACGGGCAGGCUUGAGAGUGGUAGGGCUGACUGGAAUUCCAGGUGUAGCGGUGGAAUGCGCAGAUAUCUGGAGGAACACCGAUGGCGAAGGCAGGUCACUAGGCCAUUACUGACGCUGAGGAGCGAAAGCAUGGGUAGCGAACAGG
Molecule: ribosomal RNA, 420 nt
Filed under: bacterium
Lineage: Bacteria
Description: partial 16S ribosomal RNA
Rfam family: Bacterial small subunit ribosomal RNA
Source: RNAcentral